GUUGGUCCAGACCACUCCGUCUGCCCAGAGAAGCCGCGACAGGAGAGUGGUGAUUGGUGCAAGCGACAUGGUAUGAGGGAAACAACCCCCAUAUCCUCAUUAUUUUAUAACAGAAGAAUAGAGAUGACUUGACUGCUUCUAACAUGUAAGUACAUUAACAGUAAGACCUAAGUGCUGUCAGCGCUCCCCCAGAGAAGCCCACACCCGUGCGCCCGGAUAUUUUUCUGAGAAGUUCUCUUUUAACUCUUAGGUUUAAAGUCGAUGGUAAUGAAUAAACCCCAACUCUGCUUCAUUAAAAAUAAUUGAAUGGCGCAGAGAACGUAAGGAUUGAUAAAUAGCUUGUUGAAAAUAUUGUCACGAUUAAAAACUAUUGCCUUUGUAUAUGUAUGUGUGUGUGCGGGUGUGCAUGUGUGUUUGAGGGGCUGUGUGUGGGUGUGUUUGUGUCUUUAGAGGCCAGAGGACAGCUACAGGGGCAGAUUUUCUUCUUUCACCGUUGGAGUCCCAGGGACAAAACUCACCUCCUCGGCCAUGGUGGCAAGUGUCGUCAGCCUCCCCUCCUUCCCCGAGAUCAUCACCAUCACCAUCAUCACCAUCAUCAUCAUCAUCAUCAUCAUGCACUACAGCGCCAUGAUGAAGUAUAAUACAUUUUUUAAAUACA
Rattus rattus (black rat) is the source of this 658-nucleotide long non-coding RNA. RefSeq lists it as uncharacterized. NCBI's taxonomy places the organism in Eukaryota, Metazoa, Chordata, Mammalia, Rodentia, Muridae. The transcript is spliced from 2 exons. The record is from RefSeq and is a predicted model, not a curated record.